Molecule: ribosomal RNA, 305 nt
Filed under: uncultured bacterium
Lineage: Bacteria
Description: bacterial SSU rRNA
Rfam family: Bacterial small subunit ribosomal RNA
Source: RNAcentral
GCACCCUACGGGGCGCAGCAGUAGGGAAUUUUCGUCAAUGGGCGCAAGCCUGAACGAGCAAUGCCGCGUGAACGAGGAAGGUCUUCGGAUCGUAAAGUUCUGUUGAAGGGGAAAAAGAGCGGAGAGAGGAAAUGGUCUCCGACUGAUAUUACCCUUCGAGGAAGUCACGGCUAACUACGUGCCAGCAGCCGCGGUAAUACGGAGGAUGCGAGCGUUAUCCGGAUUUAUUGGGUUUAAAGGGUGCGUAGGCGGGACGGUAAGUCAGCGGUAAAAAUGCGGAGCUCAACUCCGUCGAGCCGUUGAAA